Molecule: ribosomal RNA, 440 nt
Filed under: uncultured bacterium
Lineage: Bacteria
Description: partial 16S ribosomal RNA
Rfam family: Bacterial small subunit ribosomal RNA
Source: RNAcentral
CCUACGGGAGGCAGCAGUGGGGAAUAUUGCACAAUGGGGGAAACCCUGAUGCAGCGACGCCGCGUGAGUGAAGAAGUAUUUCGGUAUGUAAAGCUCUAUCAGCAGGGAAGAAAAGAGACGGUACCUUACUAAGAAGCCCCGGCUAACUACAUGCCAGCAGCCGCGGUAAUACGUAGGGGGCAGGCGUUAUCCGGAUUUACUGGGUGUAAAGGGAGCGUAGAGGGCGCGGCAAGUCUGAGGUGAAGGGAAGGGUCUAACCCCGGAACCGCCUUGGAAACCGGCAUGCUAGAGUAAGGGAGAGGUAAGUGGAAUUCCUAGUGUAGCGGUGAAAUGCGUAGAUAUUAGGAGGAACACCAGUGGCGAAGGCGGCUUACUGGACAGUAACUGACGUUGAGGCUCGAAAGCGUGGGGAGCAAACAGGAUUAGAUACCCGUGUAGUC